GACGUAGGAGGCGAGCGUUGUCCGGACUCAUUGGGCGUAAAGAGCGCGCAGGCGGCUUGGUAAGUCGGAUGUGAAAUCCCGAGGCUCAACCUCGGGUCUGCAUCCGAUACUGCCCGGCUAGAGGUAGGUAGGGGAGAUCGGAAUUCCUGGUGUAGCGGUGAAAUGCGCAGAUAUCAGGAGGAACACCGGUGGCGAAGGCGGAUCUCUGGGCCUUACCUGACGCUCAGGCGCGAAAGCUAGGGGAGCGAACUGG
RNAcentral lists this ribosomal RNA (253 nucleotides) under uncultured bacterium. RNAcentral describes it as "partial 16S ribosomal RNA". It matches the Rfam family "Bacterial small subunit ribosomal RNA", at positions 524 to 776 of the family's 1533-position model. The record is from RNAcentral.